RNAcentral lists this ribosomal RNA (1440 nucleotides) under uncultured organism. RNAcentral's name for it is "16S ribosomal RNA". It matches the Rfam family "Bacterial small subunit ribosomal RNA". The record is from RNAcentral.
GAUGAACGCUAGCUACAGGCUUAACACAUGCAAGUCGAGGGGCAUCAGGAAGAAAGCUUGCUUUCUUUGCUGGCGACCGGCGCACGGGUGAGUAACACGUAUCCAACCUGCCCUUUACUCGGGGAUAGCCUUUCGAAAGAAAGAUUAAUACCCGAUGGCAUAAUGAUUCCGCAUGGUUUCAUUAUUAAAGGAUUCCGGUAAAGGAUGGGGAUGCGUUCCAUUAGGUUGUUGGUGAGGUAACGGCUCACCAAGCCUUCGAUGGAUAGGGGUUCUGAGAGGAAGGUCCCCCACAUUGGAACUGAGACACGGUCCAAACUCCUACGGGAGGCAGCAGUGAGGAAUAUUGGUCAAUGGGCGCUAGCCUGAACCAGCCAAGUAGCGUGAAGGAUGAAGGCUCUAUGGGUCGUAAACUUCUUUUAUAUAAGAAUAAAGUGCAGUAUGUAUACUGUUUUGUAUGUAUUAUAUGAAUAAGGAUCGGCUAACUCCGUGCCAGCAGCCGCGGUAAUACGGAGGAUCCGAGCGUUAUCCGGAUUUAUUGGGUUUAAAGGGAGCGUAGGUGGACUGGUAAGUCAGUUGUGAAAGUUUGCGGCUCAACCGUAAAAUUGCAGUUGAUACUGUCAGUCUUGAGUACAGUAGAGGUGGGCGGAAUUCGUGGUGUAGCGGUGAAAUGCUUAGAUAUCACGAAGAACUCCGAUUGCGAAGGCAGCUCACUGGACUGCAACUGACACUGAUGCUCGAAAGUGUGGGUAUCAAACAGGAUUAGAUACCCUGGUAGUCCACACAGUAAACGAUGAAUACUCGCUGUUUGCGAUAUACAGUAAGCGGCCAAGCGAAAGCAUUAAGUAUUCCACCUGGGGAGUACGCCGGCAACGGUGAAACUCAAAGGAAUUGACGGGGGCCCGCACAAGCGGAGGAACAUGUGGUUUAAUUCGAUGAUACGCGAGGAACCUUACCCGGGCUUAAAUUGCAGUGGAAUGAUGUGGAAACAUGUCAGUGAGCAAUCACCGCUGUGAAGGUGCUGCAUGGUUGUCGUCAGCUCGUGCCGUGAGGUGUCGGCUUAAGUGCCAUAACGAGCGCAACCCUUAUCUUUAGUUACUAACAGGUUAUGCUGAGGACUCUAGAGAGACUGCCGUCGUAAGAUGUGAGGAAGGUGGGGAUGACGUCAAAUCAGCACGGCCCUUACGUCCGGGGCUACACACGUGUUACAAUGGGGGGUACAGAAGGCAGCUAGCGGGUGACCGUAUGCUAAUCCCAAAAGCCUCUCUCAGUUCGGAUCGAAGUCUGCAACCCGACUUCGUGAAGCUGGAUUCGCUAGUAAUCGCGCAUCAGCCACGGCGCGGUGAAUACGUUCCCGGGCCUUGUACACACCGCCCGUCAAGCCAUGGGAGCCGGGGGUACCUGAAGUACGUAACCGCAAGGAUCGUCCUAGGGUAAAACUGG